UGGGGAAUAUUGCGCAAUGGGCGAAAGCCUGACGCAGCGACGCCGCGUGGGGGAUGACGCUUUUCGGAGUGUAAACCCCUUUCGAUCGGGACGAAUGCCUCGCAAGAGGAGUGACGGUACCGGUAGAAGAAGCCCCGGCUAACUACGUGCCAGCAGCCGCGGUAAUACGUAGGGGGCCAGCGUUGCUCGGAAUAACUGGGCGUAAAGGGUUCGUAGGCGGUGCGGCAAGUUGGGAGUGAAAUCUCUGGGCUUAACCCAGAGACUGCUUUCAAAACUGCCGUGCUAGAGUGCGGGAGAGGCCAGUGGAAUUGCAGGUGUAGCGGUGAAAUGCGUAGAUAUCUGCAGGAACACCCGUGGCGAAGGCGGCUGGCUGGACCGCAACUGACGCUGAGGAACGAAAGCUAGGGGAGCAAACAGGAUUAGAUACCCCCGUAGUCC
Molecule: ribosomal RNA, 438 nt
Filed under: uncultured bacterium
Lineage: Bacteria
Description: bacterial SSU rRNA
Rfam family: Bacterial small subunit ribosomal RNA
Source: RNAcentral